GUUCGUCGCCCUUCCUGUUCGUGAACCAGGCCAGGACUUGUUGAUUCCAUCGCCGUCCGCACACCAGAACCGGACCAAACGCCGACCCCUCUUGCUUCCGUUGCUGACCUGUCCGCCCUCCUCUACACCAGAAAAUGCUGCUUAGAUUUGUCCUAUCAUUUCUUUCCUGGCAUCAAAUGUGGUUUGGGAUAAUUUCUUAUCAUUCACAUUAGAGGAAGUAGUCAAUUUUUUGGAGAGAACUCUCAAUAAGGUGCGUGGUUUUUCAAACUCUCCAACACCAUUUCAUGAAUAGUUUUGAAAUAAAGCUUUAUAUAUA
Long non-coding RNA from Dendrobium catenatum, 316 nucleotides. RefSeq lists it as uncharacterized. The transcript is spliced from 2 exons. NCBI's taxonomy places the organism in Eukaryota, Viridiplantae, Streptophyta, Magnoliopsida, Asparagales, Orchidaceae. The record is from RefSeq and is a predicted model, not a curated record.